ACAGCGUGAUAACUACAUUAUGGAAAACUGAGCAGCCCAUGGGUGGGAGAAGACUGCACCACUUCUCCUUCCUCACCCCUCCCAAUACCUUCUGUUUGGCUCGACCUUGCGAUGAAGGCUCAAGUUGGUUCUUCAUACAUCUAACCUCAUAUAUUCACCUCCAUUUAUCAGCCUGUGUCCGAGGACAGCAAACAACUUUCACAGACCUCUGCUCUAGAUCCAGUUAUCAGUGUAUCAGCAAGGAGGUGUACAGUGCAAACUGCUCAGCCCUGCCUGAUGGCCAGUCCCAGAACCCUUCAGAGAAAGAAGCUGCUGCUGGGGUGACCAUCAUGUGUGAUUAGGACAGAGGCACAUAUGGAAAGGAAGAAUCUUGGAGCCUCUCACUUGAAGAACAGCUUGCACAUCACUUGGGAGUUGUCCAGCUUGUGGCCAGGACCCUGGAGCUCAUGAGUUCUUGGUGGAAAGCACAGAUGAGAGACUGUGCCCUGCUGUGUUGCCUCAGCUAUAAUUUCCAAGUGGCCUGAAGGUACAGUUCCACGUAGCUGUAAUUUGAUCUCAGGGUGACAAACUAAGAUCAAUAAACACACGAAGGUCCCUAGCAGGAGACAAGGAUGAAACCUGCCUGCCAAACACAGAGUACAAAGAGCUUGGCAAGUCUCUUAAGUUCAUUAUAUUUAGUAACUCACUUAAUAUGUUGGAUUUGUUGUGCAUGGUGCAAACAAGGAUUUUGAACUACUGAGAGUACCUUUCAUAACAAUCACCUAGUGCUUUCAAGGGCAUUGUGCUGAGGGAUCAAACUAAUAUAGCCCAGGGUUUCCUGCCACACACCAUAAAGACAUAAAUGGAA
Long non-coding RNA from Pezoporus flaviventris, 847 nucleotides. RefSeq lists it as uncharacterized. NCBI's taxonomy places the organism in Eukaryota, Metazoa, Chordata, Aves, Psittaciformes, Psittacidae. The transcript has 3 exons. The record is from RefSeq and is a predicted model, not a curated record.